This 426-nucleotide ribosomal RNA is filed under the name Triticum aestivum (bread wheat). Its description in RNAcentral is "partial small subunit ribosomal RNA". Lineage: Eukaryota; Viridiplantae; Streptophyta; Magnoliopsida; Poales; Poaceae. The record is from RNAcentral.
AUGAUCUCGACAGAAAAGAGGAUAGUGGCGGCGGGGGAAAAGACGAGUGAGGAAGCUUUGAAGGAGGAGGCGGAGAUGGAGGGGGCAUCCGGGAAGCUCGCGGGGCUGCAGUCUAUCGUUUUACCUCCCGGCCAAACGACUAUGGAGUCCCGUGGCAGGAAGAAUCAUACGCGUGCAGAUAUGCUGGUAAAUAUACACAAGGCGCUUUUAGUAUUGGAAGGCAUGAUGAUGGAUAUAGCACCGGAUGAGUCGAAGGACACGCCCGAGGAUCACAUGUCCAACUCCGGCAGCAGUUCCGGCAAGCAGACUGUCCGCUCAGAAGCCGUUCCGAGAUUGGGGAAACAAGUUUUUUCACCUGCAAUGGAUUCGUUGAACAUGAUCAGUGGCUGGUACCCCAAUUUAGUUAAGAUAAGAAAGGGAUCAUAA